RNAcentral lists this ribosomal RNA (492 nucleotides) under Priestia flexa. RNAcentral's name for it is "bacterial LSU rRNA". It matches the Rfam family "Bacterial large subunit ribosomal RNA", at positions 380 to 875 of the family's 2925-position model. Lineage: Bacteria; Bacillati; Bacillota; Bacilli; Caryophanales; Bacillaceae. The record is from RNAcentral.
UGAAACUUCGUUCCCUCUUGAGUGGAUCCUGAGUACGGCGGAACACGUGAAAUUCCGUCGGAAGCUGGGAGGACCAUCUCCCAAGGCUAAAUACUCCCUAGUGACCGAUAGUGAACCAGUACCGUGAGGGAAAGGUGAAAAGCACCCCGGAAGGGGAGUGAAAGAGAACCUGAAACCGUGUGCCUACAAGUAGUCAGAGCCCGUUAAUGGGUGAUGGCGUGCCUUUUGUAGAAUGAACCGGCGAGUUAUGAUCCCAUGCAAGGUUAAGUUGAAGAGACGGAGCCGUAGCGAAAGCGAGUCUGAAUAGGGCGUUUAGUAUGUGGUUGUAGACCCGAAACCAGGUGAUCUACCCAUGUCCAGGGUGAAGUUCAGGUAACACUGAAUGGAGGCCCGAACCCACGCACGUUGAAAAGUGCGGGGAUGAGGUGUGGGUAGCGGAGAAAUUCCAAUCGAACCUGGAGAUAGCUGGUUCUCUCCGAAAUAGCUUUAGGG